This 682-nucleotide ribosomal RNA is filed under the name uncultured bacterium. Its description in RNAcentral is "bacterial SSU rRNA". It matches the Rfam family "Bacterial small subunit ribosomal RNA", at positions 44 to 715 of the family's 1533-position model. The record is from RNAcentral.
AUGCUUAACACAUGCAAGUCGAACGGAAACGAUGGAAGCUUGCUUCCAGGCGUCGAGUGGCGGACGGGUGAGUAAUGCUUGGGAAUCUGCCUAAUAGUGGGGGAAAACUCGGGGAAACUCGGGCUAAUACCGCAUAAUCUCUUCGGAGGAAAGGGGGCCUCUACAUGUAAGCUCUCGCUAAUAGAUGAGCCCAAGUCAGAUUAGCUUGUUGGUGAGGUAAAAGCUCACCAAGGCUACGAUCUGUAGCUGGUCUGAGAGGACGAUCAGCCACACUGGGACUGAGACACGGCCCAGACUCCUACGGGAGGCAGCAGUGGGGAAUAUUGCGCAAUGGGCGCAAGCCUGAUGCAGCAAUGCCGCGUGUGUGAAGAAGGCCUUAGGGUUGUAAAGCACUUUCAAUAGAGAAGAAAAGCUUAGAGUUAAUAACUCUAAGCAUUGACGUAACCUAUAGAAGAAGCACCGGCUAAAUCCGUGCCAGCAGCCGCGGUAAUACGGAUGGUGCGAGCGUUAAUCGGAAUUACUGGGCGUAAAGCGCGCGUAGGCUGUUUUAUAAGUCGGAUGUGAAAUCCCCGGGCUCAACCUGGGAACUGCAUCCGAAACUAUUUAACUAGAGUAUGGGAGAGGUAAGUAGAAUUUCCGGUGUAGCGGUGAAAUGCGUAGAUAUCGGAAGGAACACCAGUGG